CAUUUUUGUUUUCCAACAGAUAAUGAUGGUUGCAGGGCCCCUCUUCAAUGGAGGCAUUGCCAGCCUUCUGGCCAUGAAGGAGAAAGUGAUUUCAACUAACCCAGGAAACUCUUACCUCUAAAUGGAGAUACUUCCUGAUAACAGAAGAAACUGGGCAUCUAACCCAGAAAUACCAGCUGAGUAGGAGAAGAGAAAAGGCAUCAGCCAGUCAAGGUUUCAGAAGGCUGCCAACAAGAUACAUUCCUUCAGUGUUAAUGGAUAAUUUUGCAUAGAGGUGUGUAUGCCUACUAUGUAUUCUAUGCCUAUUUGUUAUUGCUGCUAAGAAGAAAAAAAUCCAUGUAAGUUAGUGUACUCAUGAAAUACAGAGGAAACAAAAGAAAAGGUGUGAAAAGCUAAUGAAGAGCAAGUGGUCAGUUCUGGUGCGGUUUGAUGGAGUGGAGAAAGCCACCCACCAGAUCCCUUCCAGACUGGCAGUCUUGAAGUACAGACAGACACAAGCUGCUAUGGUAAUUCAAAAGAAGAACUGACUAAAUACAGCGUGGUCAAGAAAGACAAAUAGAUGAGGUGGGGACUUCAGCUGGGUCUCUCACAGGAUGUCCAGGACAUGGUAUUGGUGAGGGGAGGUGGGAAGAGUGUCCCAAAUAUGGAAGAGGGAAGGAACUGUGGAGGAGCGGUCAAAAUGGAUGCUGAUGUUUGCAAAUAACAAAAGGGAUGAAUAAAUGACAGGCUUCUACAAGUAAACAGUCUAUGUAACUGUUACUAAUUCAAGGUGCUGGAUCUGAUCCCCCACCUAGUAUGUCCCCUGAACGAAUGACUUCAAGGCCACGUAGUUGUCCCUGAGUUUUCCACAUGCCAACCUCCUCCUCCCUAGGCCUGAGAUGUGUUGCAAGUGCUGCUCCUUCUGCCCAGACCCCCUGCUUCCCUAUUCUCAGCAAACCCUUCUUCCUUGACAUAACAAAUUAGCAUGACCUGCAAAUCCUUCAAUGUGACCACAGAUAGAGAGGCCUCCACCCCAAAUUCCUAAAAUAAGUACUCUUCCCAACUUCCGCCCGAGUUUCUAUAGUGGUACCUUACCUGUUUCUUUCACAGCACAUAUUAGCCACCUGUUUAAUUAGCAUGAUUUGAGUGUUGUACCCAUGAAGUCGGACAGAAUCAGAACUGGGAACACAGAGUUUAAUCUGAUGUCAUUUAUCAGAUUUGUAGCCCUGCCACUCAAGAAGAGACAAGGCUUAAAUAGUUGA
Molecule: long non-coding RNA, 1241 nt
Filed under: Homo sapiens (human)
Lineage: Eukaryota; Metazoa; Chordata; Mammalia; Primates; Hominidae
Description: HSALNT0342970
Source: RNAcentral